UUCUAAUAUGGCAGAUUAGUGCAGUGGAUUUAAGCUCCACAAAUAAAGUUAAAUACUUUUUUUAGAA
This 67-nucleotide transfer RNA is filed under the name Tenodera superstitiosa. RNAcentral's name for it is "tRNA-Leu". It matches the Rfam family "tRNA". From Rfam's summary of the family: Transfer RNA (tRNA) molecules are approximately 80 nucleotides in length. Their secondary structure includes four short double-helical elements and three loops (D, anti-codon, and T loops). Further hydrogen bonds mediate the characteristic L-shaped molecular structure. tRNAs have two regions of fundamental functional importance: the anti-codon, which is responsible for specific mRNA codon recognition, and the 3' end, to which the tRNAs corresponding amino acid is attached (by aminoacyl-tRNA synthetases). tRNAs cope with the degeneracy of the genetic code in two manners: having more than one tRNA (with a specific anti-codon) for a particular amino acid; and 'wobble' base-pairing, i.e. permitting non-standard base-pairing at the 3rd anti-codon position. Lineage: Eukaryota; Metazoa; Arthropoda; Insecta; Mantodea; Mantidae. The record is from RNAcentral.